AGAAAUCUUUUGACAUACUUCCAAGUAAAAUCUUAAAGAAAAUCGUCUAAAAAAUAAAAUGGCUAAGCUUUUAUUGUUUCUUUCCCUAACUCUUUUGGCGUUUACUUAUGUCAUGGCUUGUUCACCACCAGGUAUGCCUUGUACCGAUAAUAGUCAAUGUUGUGCCCCAUACGUAUGCAAUCCUUGGGCUAAUCGUUGCACAAAAGGUGGAAGCUGGCCACCACCAGGGGCUAACACUGAGCCCAGCGAAUGAUUAACAUGAGCUAUUUGGCAUAUUUACAUUAUUUCGUAGGCCUACGAUCAAAUGUACACUUUUUCCUAAUUCAUCGUAUAUGAUGAUUUCUGUAACUUCUUAUUAUUUGCUUCAAAAAUACAUAUGCAUUAUUAAAAUUAA
Molecule: long non-coding RNA, 394 nt
Organism: Polistes canadensis
Lineage: Eukaryota; Metazoa; Arthropoda; Insecta; Hymenoptera; Vespidae
Exons: 3
Source: RefSeq, a predicted model, not a curated record